Brienomyrus brachyistius is the source of this 2466-nucleotide long non-coding RNA. RefSeq lists it as uncharacterized. Lineage: Eukaryota; Metazoa; Chordata; Actinopteri; Osteoglossiformes; Mormyridae. The transcript has 4 exons. The record is from RefSeq and is a predicted model, not a curated record.
GUUAGUAUCCUCCUCUUCCUUUUCCUUUCCCACUCAGAACUCCUGGUAGCCCCCUGCGGCCUCAUGAAGUCAGCAUUUCAGUUACAGAAGCCUAGGAGCGGCCAAGCGGGGCCACCCCCGAGCCCAGCAGCACCAGCCACUGCCGAUAGCUUUGAGUUCGCCUGCAGAUUUGGCUCCAGCAGGAAUGACCUGGAGACCUGUGAGCCAUUGCCACUGGAUGAGGGGAGUGUCCGCACUGACCAUGCACGUGGACACAUACGUCAAACGCACUGAUAUCCGGCAGAUGUUGAGCUCCACACAAGUUAUCACUGGGCUCCAGGCCUUCCUCUGGUUGGCUACCCACAGGGCGUGGGGUGGGAGUUGACAGCACCACUGGUGAGCUUUACAUAACAGCAGCUGAAAUAUAACCGAUCUGUAUAGGACAACACAUGCUGUCCCUUCCCUGACAAGAAACCUGAGCUAUGAGGAUCUGUAGAGACAAUAGCGGGGAGGGAAAGGGAGAGAUUGAGUCAUGGUGCCCGUUUGAGGUGAUGAGCUUUUACCUAUAGGUCAUGUUUUUUCGUAGAUUACCCUUGGUACCAAAAUGUUGUACUGCUAUGAUAUGGUGAGGCUCUGUCCUGCACAGGACGUUACCUAGGCGUCGACUGCACAUUCACAUGACAGAUGAAAGCGAAAGCAAUACUGGCCAGAGCAUUCAAGUCCAGAGAAGGUCAAACUAGUAAGAUCAUCAAUGUUAAGGUGAGUGACGUUGGAGAAUGAGAGAAUCCUCAUGGGGUCCUAACCUCUGGUCUCUGGCCAAUAUUCCACCAGGCCACAGGAUGAUGGGGCUUCUGCAGAGGGGUUACUUUAUUUCCAAAAGUGAACUAUAUAUUUUCACUUUCUAAUGACCCCUUAUGUUCACACAUUCUGUCCCCAUCUGACAAUAAUGGAGACGGUUUAACUUAUGGAAACGCCAAUUGAUGUGCCCACAGGUCCUUGAAAUGUUUGUAUGAUGCAGACCGGUCCACGAACAUCAAAAGGCAGGGGACUGUAGGUUACAGAGUCGGGCCCUGAGGAAAAUAAGCAUGAUAUGUGAGUCAGUGUAGGAAGAAGCCCACAUCUGAACCUGCAGAUUUCCCCUAUUAGUACAAGGGAGGCAGAUGCGUGUUUUCCCACACAUUCUCCAGGGCAGAAUUUCCACCCCCCCACAGCCCAGAGGAAGGGGUCGGCAUUCCUCCACCCCAGCCCCAGGCAUCCCUUGGGCAAAGGGAGCUGGGGCCUCACAUCUGGAAAGAGCACAGCUGGCCAAGGAGAGGAAACUAGAGAGCAGGAGAUACUGGAUAUGGUGAAAAUACAUGCUAUAAAAGCAAGACAAGGGCCCUCUUUCUAACAUUAAAUGCUGCUCCAAAGAAAAAAGAUGUUUUUGAAAAUGGGCAGGAGACAACUCAUGUCAGGAGAACUACAACGGGGGUAAUGAAACAACAGGCAAUUUCCCACAACUCCGAAGACUUAUAUGUCUCUAAAUGCUUUGGAACUGUUUUCUGGUUAUUUUCUGCAAAGGUCUUUCCCAUUAAUUUGCUUUGUCCGAUUUUUAUAUGUUAACUGUGGUCCCUAGAGGGCGACUGUCUCUCCCGUUCCUGAAAUCCCGUCUGAGUCUGAACCUGUCCACACACAAGCUCUGCUGACCUUAUGUCCCCAUGAACAUGCCGGCACACUGGCAGCCAUUUAGUAAGCCAUCAUAAUCUAAACGGAUGUUUUCUCUGUCACUGUUAACAACCCUCCGCGUCUUCGGUGUAGGAAUGAACACGUGACCCUCCCCUCUGGGUGUGCUUACCAUCACAUGUGGGUCUUUGCACAGCUCCAUUUGCUCAGUCAUCUCCAUGAAGAGCUAACUCUAGGAAGGAGCUUGUUAGCAGGAUGGGGACACCCCGGCCUGAAACCCUGACACUAAAUUCCUGAAGCUGGCCCACGGUUGGAGACCUGCCUGCAAGCAGCACAACGCUCUGGAUUUCAUGCAAGAGCAAAGAUGAACAUGUGAGUCGGCUGGCCUGGAUUGAUCGGGUUUUCUGAUAACAUCUUCUGGAGAUGAUCAGGAUGAACUGAGGCACUAGCUGCUUUAUCUAUGGAAAAUCGUUCUGCGCCUGAGCAGGACAAAUAUCACAGGUCCCUCUUCAUGUGGCAUGUUUUCGACAGGACUGGAGGAACUAGAAGCUAAACAGCAUCACCACUGCUGUUGACCAUUCUGGAUUGAUUAUGAAGAAAAUGGCAGCCAUGGGGCAGACUGUUCUAGAUAAAUAUGCCCCCCCCCCACAGCCAGAUUGAGAAAGAACAAAGUUCACAACAUCCCCAUCUACCCACAGGAUGGGGGAGGGCUGUCCACUGAGAGCGCUUGGAAAAUGUCUCUGUGAACAUGGACAGUCUUUAAAAAUACAUCCCAACAUUGUCCUUCAGUCCAUAUGAUUAUGUAAAUAUCUGAAAGUCACUUGG